UACGUAGGGUGCGAGCGUUAAUCGGAAUUACUGGGCGUAAAGCGUGCGCAGGCGGUUUGCUAAGGCAGGUGUGAAAUCCCCGGGCUUAACCUGGGAACUGCGCUUGUGACUGGCAGGCUAGAGUACGGCAGAGGGGGGUGGAAUUCCUGGUGUAGCAGUGAAAUGCGUAGAUAUCAGGAGGAACACCGAUGGCGAAGGCAGCCCCCUGGGCCUGUACUGACGCUCAUGCACGAAAGCGUGGGGAGCAAACAGGAUUAGAUA
RNAcentral lists this ribosomal RNA (261 nucleotides) under uncultured prokaryote. RNAcentral's name for it is "partial 16S ribosomal RNA". It matches the Rfam family "Bacterial small subunit ribosomal RNA", at positions 524 to 784 of the family's 1533-position model. The record is from RNAcentral.